GUACACACUAGUUAUUAGGGUUUCCUAGUUUAGUGCUCUAUUAGGAUUAGGUAUUUAAAUCCUAGAAAGCUAGUGCCUUAGGUUUGGGGCCAACCAAUGUCCAAAGCAUGUCAAACUCUACCCAAGGGCUUUAAUCCUUGAGUUAAGCUUACCCAAAAAGUUUUACUAUUUUGGAGCUAUCAAUUAAAUUCUAAAAUUCUAAAUGGCUAGGUUUAGGCAUCUUUAAAUGCUAAAUAAUUCCUGGUUUGGACUAAAAAUCUUGAAACUAUUUUUAUUAAAAACUAGAUGAAUUUAGGAGUCUAGUAAAAUCGGUCUCAUGAUUUUAUAAUUUUUUAAGAAUUUUCUAUAAAUGUCCAAGUUUGGAAGAAAAAAUAAAAGGAAAAAGAAGGAAUAGUAUUGGGCUGAAACCAGCCCAAACCGGCCCACCAACAGGGGAAACCCGCGCCCGCGCGCGCCCGCACUGACCAUCUUGCGUAGAGGCCCUCGACUUUUUGAAUAACCGGCAAAGAAGUCGUGGAACUAUUCAUGUGUCUCUCUGACAUUUGCGCAAAACCCCUCACCCUUCUUUCUCUUCACAACUCCAAGUCCCCGACGGUGAACGACAGCGUGCGCGCUCUCCGGUGCACUCGUACCGGCCAGAAUACGCAACAACCAGUGUCCUAACUUGGUCUACACCUAAUUCCACCCCUGGCGAUCCUAAUCCAUCCCUUAAUUAAGGUAGUCCGGCCCAGAGUUCAUCUACCCACGACGGCGGCAAGACCCAAGGGAAAACCGAGGUGUUCCCGACGACUAGGUGCGGUAUAGUUUAAUUGGAAGGGUCGACGAGUAUCACAAGCAUGCUAGUUAGAGUGCUGAAACACGAAUCAGGAGGGCGAGAGCGGACCUGUAGACGGCUGACCACGACGAGGUGACUCGUGGUGGUGCGAAGAGUGGAUUUGGGGGAAAAACGAAAUUAGGGCGCUACGGUGGACGAUCGGAGGCGAGGGCUAGUGUUCUGGCUUCGUAACUACCUAGCGGAGCUAACGGUGCACUCAAUUUAUAGCCUCUGAGAGCGAUGGGCUCCGAAUUUUGAAGGGGAAAGCUGGC
Molecule: long non-coding RNA, 1086 nt
Filed under: Zea mays
Lineage: Eukaryota; Viridiplantae; Streptophyta; Magnoliopsida; Poales; Poaceae
Description: long non-coding RNA NONZMAT003336
Source: RNAcentral